This 690-nucleotide ribosomal RNA is filed under the name uncultured bacterium. RNAcentral's name for it is "bacterial SSU rRNA". It matches the Rfam family "Bacterial small subunit ribosomal RNA", at positions 141 to 851 of the family's 1533-position model. The record is from RNAcentral.
GGAUAACAUACCGAAAGGUAUGCUAAUACGGGAUAAUAUAUUUGAGAGGCAUCUCUUAAAUAUCAAAGGUGAGCCAGUACAGGAUGGACCCGCGUCUGAUUAGCUAGUUGGUAAGGUAACGGCUUACCAAGGCGACGAUCAGUAGCCGACCUGAGAGGGUGAUCGGCCACAUUGGAACUGAGACACGGUCCAAACUCCUACGGGAGGCAGCAGUGGGGAAUAUUGCACAAUGGGCGAAAGCCUGAUGCAGCAACGCCGCGUGAGUGAUGAAGGCCUUCGGGUCGUAAAACUCUGUCCUCAAGGAAGAUAAUGACGGUACUCGAGGAGGAAGCCCCGGCUAACUACGUGCCAGCAGCCGCGGUAAUACGUAGGGGGCUAGCGUUAUCCGGAUUUACUGGGCGUAAAGGGUGCGUAGGCGGUCUUUCAAGUCAGGAGUGAAAGGCUACGGCUCAACCGUAGUAAGCUCUUGAAACUGGGAGACUUGAGUGCAGGAGAGGAGAGUGGAAUUCCUAGUGUAGCGGUGAAAUGCGUAGAUAUUAGGAGGAACACCAGUUGCGAAGGCGGCUCUCUGGACUGUAACUGACGCUGAGGCACGAAAGCGUGGGGAGCAAACAGGAUUAGAUACCCUGGUAGUCCACGCUGUAAACGAUGAGUACUAGGUGUCGGGGGUUACCCCCUUCGGUGCCGCAG